RNAcentral lists this non-coding RNA (63 nucleotides) under Desulfovibrio desulfuricans. The record is from RNAcentral. Lineage: Bacteria; Pseudomonadati; Thermodesulfobacteriota; Desulfovibrionia; Desulfovibrionales; Desulfovibrionaceae.
UGGCGAAACACCCUUCAGGUGUCGUCGUGGGGUGGUUCCCACGGCCUGACGAGCCAGCCGUUC